GAUGAACGCUGGCGGCGUGCUUAACACGUGCAAGUCGAACGGAAAGGCUCCUGCUUGCAGGGGUACUCGAGUGGCGAACGGGUGAGUAACACGUGGGUGAUCUGCCCUGCACUUCGGGAUAAGCCUGGGAAACUGGGUCUAAUACCGGAUAGGACGAUGGUUUGGAUGCCAUUGUGGAAAGUUUUUUCGGUGUGGGAUGAGCUCGCGGCCUAUCAGCUUGUUGGUGGGGUAAUGGCCUACCAAGGCGUCGACGGGUAGCCGGCCUGAGAGGGUGUACGGCCACAUUGGGACUGAGAUACGGCCCAGACUCCUACGGGAGGCAGCAGUGGGGAAUAUUGCACAAUGGGCGCAAGCCUGAUGCAGCGACGCCGCGUGGGGGAUGACGGCCUUCGGGUUGUAAACUCCUUUCGCUAGGGACGAAGCGCAAGUGACGGUACCUGGAGAAGAAGCACCGGCUAACUACGUG
This 466-nucleotide ribosomal RNA is filed under the name uncultured bacterium. Its description in RNAcentral is "partial 16S ribosomal RNA". It matches the Rfam family "Bacterial small subunit ribosomal RNA", at positions 28 to 507 of the family's 1533-position model. The record is from RNAcentral.